RNAcentral lists this long non-coding RNA (1391 nucleotides) under Daucus carota (carrot). RNAcentral's name for it is "long non-coding RNA (DCAR_LNC000944)". The record is from RNAcentral. Lineage: Eukaryota; Viridiplantae; Streptophyta; Magnoliopsida; Apiales; Apiaceae.
AAGGUAAAGCAUGUCACUGUGAUUCCAAUUUUAAUUGAUGUUGAUUUGGUUUACAUUCAUGUAUUCUUUGUGGAUUAUUUAGAUUUUGUUUUAUGUGGAGAGAGAGACGGGAACAGAGAGGGAAAGAGGGUGUGGGUUAUAGCUAGGGAGAGAACUGAGAGAUGGAGAGAAGAAAGAAUAGAUAAAUUGAGAGAUGGACAAAGGAAGAAAGAGUUACAGAGAUAGAGAGAGGGGAAGAUAGAAAAAGAGUUAAUUGGGUCUGAAUUUGUUGUUGAAAACAAAUCUCUUAAUUUAAGAUUUGUUGAAAAAGUAAUAGGCUUAAGGCUGCUGAGAUAGCAUUCUAGGUUUCACUACAUUCUUACAUUCUAGGUAGCCACAUAUAUGAUUAUCUAAGUUUUAAUUUAUUCAUGAGUGGAUGACAAGUACCAAUACAUGUGUGAAAAAAAACACAAGAUCCAUGACUGGAUUUGUCUUGACCCGCUUGUAGGAUUCUGGCAAAUAACACCCUCUAAUGAGUUCUGAACAUAUGGACCUCUCAAGCAGGACUUAACCUCUCAUGCCGGCCCCGUGAAUCUUGUUGUAUGUAACUAGUUACUCAAAUUGCUUCCACAUAUCUAUCAAUGAUCGCUUCCAACUUAAACUCUAAUGAUUUUUUAUUAUUUUUCGUAUAUUUGAUUAACAAUAAGUCCAGAAAUGGAUAUUAUGAUUACAUGUAGAAAUAGCAGAAUCCUUACUUUUUGCUCAGGUGGGCACCUGAGGUAAAGCCUAUUAAUUUGAAAUAAUUUAAUAGCUAAAACUUGUUCUAGUUUUCAUGUGGAUUUUCAUGUGGACAUGCGUAUGUGUUUUCUCAGGAUUUACUUGUACUUGCCUAGAUUCUGAAUUAGCGGGAUGAAAAAAAUUAUUGCAUCUGCUUGCUUUGGAAAGAGUCUAGUUUAUCAAGUACAGUUGUGUUGGCGAGUACUCGAGAGAGCAAUGAUUUGUACAAGGAAAAGAUGUAGAAUGGUGUUAUAAAGCUCCGUGAUCAGCAGGUUUGUAAGUUGUAGAUGUAACCGAUUGAUUUGUGAUGGAAAUUGCUCUUUAAAAUGGCUUUAAACAAUUGUCUGCUUGUUUACCAUUCUUAAACAAUUGUCAUUAACUCUUAGGCUGAAGGGAUCCAUGACUGGAUUUGUCUUGACCCGCUUGUAGGAUUCUGGCAAAUAACACCCUCUAAUGAGUUCUGAACAUAUGGACCUCUCAAGCAGGACUUAACCUCUCAUGCCGGCCCCGUGAAUCUUGUUGUAUGUAACUAGUUACUCAAAUUGCUUCCACAUAUCUAUCAAUGAUCGCUUCCAACUUAAACUCUAAUGAUUUUUUAUUAUUUUUCGUAUAUUUGAUUAACAAUAAGUCCAGAA